AGUGAACGCUGGCGGUAGGCCUAACACAUGCAAGUCGAACGGCAGCACAGUAAGAGCUUGCUCUUACGGGUGGCGAGUGGCGGACGGGUGAGGAAUACAUCGGAAUCUACUUUUUCGUGGGGGAUAACGUAGGGAAACUUACGCUAAUACCGCAUACGACCUACGGGUGAAAGCAGGGGAUCUUCGGACCUUGCGUGAUUGAAUGAGCCGAUGUCGGAUUAGCUAGUUGGCGGGGUAAAGGCACACCAAGGCGACGAUCCGUAGCUGGUCUGAGAGGAUGAUCAGCCACACUGGAACUGAGACACGGUCCAGACUCCUACGGGAGGCAGCAGUGGGGAAUAUUGGACAAUGGGCGCAAGCCUGAUCCAGCCAUGCCGCGUGGGUGAAGAAGGCCUUCGGGUUGUAAAGCCCUUUUGUUGGGAAAGAAAAGCAGCAGGUUAAUACCCCGCUGUUCUGACGGUACCCAAAGAAUAAGCACCGGCUAACUUCGUG
Molecule: ribosomal RNA, 492 nt
Filed under: uncultured bacterium
Lineage: Bacteria
Description: partial 16S ribosomal RNA
Rfam family: Bacterial small subunit ribosomal RNA
Source: RNAcentral